GACAGAGGGUGCAAACGUUGUUCGGAAUUACUGGGCGUAAAGCGCGUGUAGGCGGCUAAGUAAGUCGGGCGUGAAAUCCCACGGCUCAACCGUGGAAGUGCACUCGAAACUGCAUAGCUAGAGUCCUGGAGAGGAAGGUGGAAUGCUUGGUGUAGAGGUGAAAUUCGUAGAUAUUGGGAAGAACACCGGUGGCGAAGGCGGCUCACUGGCUCGUAACUGACGCUCAUGCACGACAGCGUGGGGAUCAAACAGG
This 253-nucleotide ribosomal RNA is filed under the name uncultured bacterium. Its description in RNAcentral is "partial 16S ribosomal RNA". It matches the Rfam family "Bacterial small subunit ribosomal RNA", at positions 524 to 776 of the family's 1533-position model. The record is from RNAcentral.